Non-coding RNA from Ceratotherium simum simum (southern white rhinoceros), 551 nucleotides. Lineage: Eukaryota; Metazoa; Chordata; Mammalia; Perissodactyla; Rhinocerotidae. The record is from RefSeq and is a predicted model, not a curated record.
UGUUGACGCCCCUGAGGUCUCUAUAAAAUCUUUAUAUGAUCUCCUCUCUCCCAGCCCGUCCUCCAUCCUCUGACCCCUUUGCUAGACUCUCUGUCGUUGGAGCACCAUUUGUGUCUCUGGACACUUAGCAUAGGUUCCCUGUGCUGGACAAGAAUUCUAUCAGGAUGAUAUCAUUUCCUCCCUCCUUCCCCACCCAGUUUUCAAUGAGAUUCCCAGUUCAGAGCCUUCCUCUGUUGAUUCUGAGGAAUAUCUGUUGAUUCUGGAUCCACCGGAAGCUAAGUGUGGGAGCAUUGAGGGAGGGUCCUCCUCUGUGGGAGGAUGUGGACAGGGGGACAAGCACAUGUUAACUGCCACUAGGCACCCUUCCCAUAGCCGAGUUGAGUUCUCCCGUAGGUCCCCUGUGACCAUUAUAAUACCCAUUUCACAGCUGAAGAGACUGAGGCCCAGAGAGCUUAACCUCCUAAGGCUCACACAACCAAUGAGGAAACUGAGGCAGGGGGAAGGUGAGAGACGAGGGCCCUCAACUAGGGGUGGCCGAGCUGAUUGGAAGG